AUGCUAGAACACUACAUAUGGAGCCAACUUGCAAAUAACUACAAAGUCCAGAGGCUGAGGCUGAGGGACAGAGUGGACCUCCAGAAUCCGUGCACUGAGCUAAGGAAGGAAGAGAGUGCUUACACCAAGUCUCUCAGCUAUGACACAAGGAGAGGCACUGUUCACAAGCCCACUCUUCUGGGGCUCCCCUUAGGAAUGGAAGCCUUCCUCUUAUGAACCCCAAUGGGAGCCUCCUCUGACCUCUCCGUACAGUUACUAUUCACCAGAUAUCCAUGUGCUACGUGGACAAGAGACAAGCAAGGGCAAAUUUCACUUCUGCCUCUUACCAGUUAGUUACAUAGCUCUGAACAAGUCAGAAGAUAACCGAAGAACUGACCAGGGGCUCCAUCAGGACUAACAGGGCUGCUAUGUGCAGGCGUGGCCACAGGUCCGCAGUUACUUUAAUUGUGGGUAUUAUUUAUCCUGUUUGUUCCAAAUUCAGGAGCAAUGCUCCAAAUGACCUCAGGGGCUCUCCUGGAUGCAUCUAGGGAUAAGCAUGUUGGGGGAAUUGGUCAUCCCUGCAGCUCUGCCUGGGCUCAGGCCAGAGCCAAGGUAGUGAGGGUGGGCAUGCAAGUGGGAGUGGGGGCUGCCAUGGGCCAGUAGCUGUGGGAGUGGGGACCUGGCUCCAUGUCCCCCCACGUGGGAGGUUGCCUGGAUCUCAGGCAGUCCUGCCUUUCUGGUUAGGGCUUCCCAACUUUUGCGGCUGUCCUCAGGGGCAAGCUAUUUUAGGUAGCAGUCAAAAUAAAACUGAGAUUAACCCAGAAUUCUUGGCA
Molecule: long non-coding RNA, 812 nt
Filed under: Mus spicilegus (steppe mouse)
Lineage: Eukaryota; Metazoa; Chordata; Mammalia; Rodentia; Muridae
Description: lncRNA (ENSMSIG00000014941.1)
Source: RNAcentral